UACGUAGGGGGCAAGCGUUGUCCGGAAUCAUUGGGCGUAAAGCGCGUGUAGGCGGCCCGGUAAGUCCGCUGUAAAAGUCCAGGGCUCAACCCUGGAAAGCCGGUGGAUACUGUCGGGCUCGAGUCCGGAAGAGGCGAGUGGAAUUCCUGGUGUAGCGGUGAAAUGCGCAGAUAUCAGGAGGAACACCAAUGGCGAAGGCGGCUCGCUGGGACGGUACUGACGCUGAGACGCGAAAGCGUGGGGAGCAAACAGG
Molecule: ribosomal RNA, 253 nt
Filed under: uncultured bacterium
Lineage: Bacteria
Description: partial 16S ribosomal RNA
Rfam family: Bacterial small subunit ribosomal RNA
Source: RNAcentral